UACGUAGGGGGCUAGCGUUGUCCGGAAUCAUUGGGCGUAAAGCGCGUGUAGGCGGUCCGGUAAGUCCGCUGUGAAAGUCGGGGGCUCAACCCUCGGAUGCCGGUGGAUACUGUCGGGCUUGAGUACGGAAGAGGCGAGUGGAAUUCCUGGUGUAGCGGUGAAAUGCGUAGAUAUCGGGAGGAACACCUGAGGCGAAGGCGGGUUACUGGGCUGAUACUGACGCUGAUGCGCGAAAGCCAGGGGAGCAAACGGG
RNAcentral lists this ribosomal RNA (253 nucleotides) under uncultured bacterium. RNAcentral describes it as "partial 16S ribosomal RNA". It matches the Rfam family "Bacterial small subunit ribosomal RNA", at positions 524 to 776 of the family's 1533-position model. The record is from RNAcentral.